Long non-coding RNA from Plodia interpunctella (Indianmeal moth), 2686 nucleotides. RefSeq lists it as uncharacterized. The record is from RefSeq and is a predicted model, not a curated record. NCBI's taxonomy places the organism in Eukaryota, Metazoa, Arthropoda, Insecta, Lepidoptera, Pyralidae. The transcript has 2 exons.
CCUAACAAUUUUUCCUUGAUUGUUUCACAAUAGCAUUAAUAUACUAUAUUCCAAUUUCACCCUACAGUUUUUUACGAGCAAAUUUUUGCUUAUUUUUUGUAACCAAAAUUUUGCCUUCAAACCGCAUUAAUUCAUUUCUUCAAUUUCCAUACGUACUGAAUAUGUGAUAUAAUCUGAAUAUGUUAAUAAUCUAUACUCCACCCAGCCCACAUCUUUUGAUUGUGGUACAAGUUUUAUUUUUAAGAGACCCGAGUAUCUACUCAUAGAUACUAAGCUUUCCUGAGAAAAGCUGACAACAAAUAAGUCCAAAUAGUAGAUACCAAAGAGAACUGAAUCUAUAACUUUUGAAUGUACCUAUAUCAUUUUCAAUAAACUUAAUGUAACUGACUUGAAGAUUUAUAGGCAAAAUUACUAAAGUUAUAUAUUUUUUUAACUCUUUUAUGAAAGCUAAGUACUCACUUCUCCUUUAUCUUGUAAAGCUUUAUCAAGUCUAUUCCUAAUGGGGCAGAGAGACAAGAGCUGCAAGACUAGGCCUAAAUAAAAAGAAUUGUGUGUGUUUCACCUCAGUCUAGCAUGAUGGGAAGCAAAGAUUAGGUCUAGGGUUUAUUUAAGUGGAGCUCCUAAGCAGGCUCCCAGAUUAAUUGUAUAUAUUUAAGGAAAUAAAUAAGUGGUAUUUAAUGUAAUGUAGGCUUCAGAAGAAGCAAACCUGAAUAGCAUUUUCAGUUGAUGUCAAAGAAAGUAAAGAGAAAAUAUUAGAAAAGGGAACCAUGGCCAAAUGAUACAAUCUAAUCAUUCAAAUUCAUGGAUUAUAUCAUAAAGCUGGUAAAAGUUGUAUUGUGACUUUUAGAUCAUUAUGUUUCUAUAAUUUUUUAUAGAUUUAUGAUUUAUAAGUAGGUAAUUUUAUAUUGUAACAUUUUAACGCUCCGCCUUAUACUGGCAAAGGUCCAAUCGUUUUAGAUUUUACAUUGUCCGGUUCUAAUUUUUGGCAGCGUCAUGGCUUACUGAUUUUAUUCUUAUAUUCACCUUCAGACAGUUUCGAACUUUCUUGUCGAGCAGAUCAUUCUUAUUAAUUUCAUCUGCAGUAGUUAUUCUCAAAAGAAAUAAACAUUUACAUUUUGAUUGAACCAAGUCCCAGCUCAAGAAGCCAAGUGCUAGCAUUAUUUUGAAACUGAAUCAUGUGUGACGUAUCUAACAAAGCAUCUUGUUAGUCUCGGAAUUCGUCAUCAGGGCAUCCGUGCACUGCCGGGUGCUAUUUCGGUGAGGCUCGGCCGUUCGCCUCUGGGGUGCAGCAAGUUUUAGUCGAACUCUGUAGCGCUUUCGGCCUGCGCCCGCGCCGCUCUAUGCAACAAGUGCGUUGACACCUAACUGUAUAGUGAAUCAUUUAUCGCGUUUCGAACUACGUUUAUUGGGUUAUAAGUUAUUGUCCUUUACGAGUGCGCUAUAUCAACUUUACGUGUGUGCUUGUAUACCUUGACUCCGACACAGUAUGGUCUUAUUGAAAUAACUUGUCUUACCUUUUUGAGCGCAGCCUUGUCUGCAUUACGUGUACCUUUACCCAGUUUUGCGACUGGCAUUAUUGUUAAAUUUUAUCAAUGUCUUCUCGCACGAAAAUUGAUAUUCGGAUAACGAUAUACUACGAAGAUCGUGUUGUAGUGAUUUACAUAUGAGCGGUAUGUAACUUGUUGACCUUUGUGAUACAAUUAUAACGCUUUCAUUGACAACUAUUGUAUUAUUAUUUAACCCAACUUUCCAGAUAUUUCAGAGUAAAAUAACAAUGAUUAGGUGACAUUCUAUCCUUUUUAAGGUACAUUCAAUUUCACCUGUAUGAUUCAUUUUUGUAGAGCAGUUUUUGAAUUUUGAAAUGAUGUAUAGCAGAACUGCCAGCGAUGUAGGGUACACGAUACAAAAAUAACUGUGGCAUAAUUAGCGUAAUGACCGUUGAACGUGUGAACUGGUCCUACUUUUUACAUAAUUUAAAUUGUAUUAGAGAACGCACGGCAAACGAACAAACAUACAAAACACAUUUUUCCUUUCAGAAGAUUUUCGUCAGCAGCGUAUAGAAAAAAAAUCAUAUAAAUAUUCGUAAAGUGGUUCUAUUGGAUUUAUUAUCUCUUUUUCUUAUGUUAUAGGUGCUUCGUCAUUCUUGGGUAAACGCUUUUUAUGGUUAUGGUCCUUACUUAGAUUAGGAAAAACUCCGGUCCUUAUUAACUAUUCCAAUUCCGGUGAUUAAUCUGUCAAACUUGCUGUGUCUGUUUCCGCCGUGUCGCGCCCAUAUUUGUCUAUCUUCGUAGCUGUGGGCGCACAAUUUGAUGCUAUCUUCCAGUUGUUUGUCUCAGACAGAUCAUUUCCACUUCACGGUUUUGUUCUCCGAGACUAAAGGCAAUCAAGGGCCUCGACGAAUCUGACAUUAGCACGAUUUCUAAUGGCCUUCCGGUGGUGUAAUCAUGGUUGGGAAAUGUUCGCUGUAAAAAGCGCUCAUUCCUGCGACCCUGAAGGAUGAAGAAUAUUGAAGAGGCGGCACGAUCCGCGCUUGCUUCGAUCCAUAUUUGGCGUGUAGCAGUACUCAGUUGCACAGAAAGAAUCAAUAAUGCUUAUUGCCGGUGGUGCCGGAUACAUAUUUCUAACGUGGAAUUUUUGUAUUGGAGCAUCGAACUUUUCUAAUUAAAUAUUUUAUUCAUUGACUCAA